UUUUGAGACUCCAGUGGGGAAGGAAGUGUGGACUCCGCACAGCACAAGGGAAGGCUUAGGUGUGCCUCGAGUUCCCAGCUGUGUGCUGGGUCCAUGGCAUGCGUCCCCUCUUCCAACCUCCCAGCUUCCAGAAGGUGGGGGGCAGGUCAGCCCCUCAGAGGGACUGCGAUGUCUGCGACACCAAGGAAGGGAGAAGGGUGUCUAUAAACAGGCUCACUGCCCAGGGACCUCUCAAGGGGUUCUUUGUGGGCCAAGAAAACGGGAAACACAUACACACACAGCUUUCUGAUUAUUUAAGUCCAUCUAAGCAUAUUUUGGAGGAAUGAAUGUACAUUGAAAUAAUCUUCCUAAAUAGAUUCCUUUAAGGGGAGUUUGUUCCAGCUGGAGAAGUUGUGCUCUCUGUAGAGGCUCUGAACUCCUCUGGCUACGACGACGGGAAUGCAGACAGGGAGGAGGAUGCGUGGGUGGUAGGGGGAGCAGCAGCGCCCCUACCUGCACAGAAGCUUGUCCAACCUCUGCACAAAGCGGACUCCCAGUGGUUGUUUUUGGAAGAUGCCAUUCGGUGAGGGAGCUCAAGCUGGAUGCAUGGGGUGACCACAGGGAGAGCAUCUGACAGCCCAGCUGGGUGCCUGGCUGAUAGCCCACACCAAGUACCAGGCAGCACCCAGAAUCUGACUCCUCCACCUUGGUCGUCAUGGAAAGCUCAUCUCUGGUGGCAGUGUUAUCAUUCUGUCAAUUACUCAAGAGCCCAAUACAAACAGGUAUCACAGAGGAUGUGACUGUCCACUCUGUGUACCUCCUAGCCCACUCCUUGGGGCUAAUGAAUAAUUUGUGUAUUACCAUCCACCGUUUUCUCAUUCCUUUAUACUGUUUUUAAUCAUUCAUUUUUUUUCUUUCAACAAUUGUAAAUGGAUUCCUACCCAGGGGGCAAGGCUGGCUGCCAGCACUGCCGUCGAGGCAUGGGCAGGAAGCAGUGGACUCUGACCUCAGUGCGUUUAUGGGAAGUGGAGGCAGAUGGUCAAGAAAUGAGAAUCUACACACAGGGAAGAUAAAUCUGGAUACCACAACAGUCCUGUGUUCUGCCAAACAAGCAACGACCAUGCUUCUCUAGCCAGGUGGGCCACCUCAGGACUCUUGGGCAGGAAGCACCUACUGGGCCUUGCAGGCCUCUCCCAGCCCCGCUCUGUGCACCCUACAUAACCCUAAUGAGCCUGGCCUUAGGGAAAUCUCAGUGCUGCCUAUGGUUUUGCAUAGACACCGGUGUGAAUCUGGGCUCUACCACUUACCCUCUGUGUGUUCACAGGAAAAGGAAAGAAUGGCUUUUCCUCGUAGCACGGUGGUGUCGGGAGCAACUCCCUAUUCCCAAUAUUGGGUAAGAUAGGGUUGGAUUGGGCGCGAAAAGAGCUUAGCCCAGAGGGGAGACAUGGUGCAUUUGCCAGAAAUGGUGGGUGCCACUCUAAAGGUGGGUGAGGAGAAUCUUCUCUCCAACCGUCUUCGCCCCCUGGGCACAGUGCCAUCACCUGGGAUUUGCUGCCCCCCUGCACACCUGCCCCAGGAGCAGGAGGAGACUCAAUAGAUAGCAUCAGACUAGAGACUGGGGCUGGGAACAGGGCUGGGAGCCUAGAGCAGAAGCCAGGUCCAGAGAGGGUUAAGGGGAGAGGACAGUCCCCAAGGGAACCAGAAGGAGCCCCUGGAGGGCAGGAGGCAAGUGACCAUCACCAAGGAACCCGAGGAGGAGGCUCAGGAGCAGAGGCUUCGAGAGGCUGCAGGACUGGCUGUCAGCACCGUGUUAGCCAUUAGCCAUCAUGUCCUAGUCCCUUCACGGUUCCUAGGUCAGGGUCCUCCUGCUUCUGUGACGGUCACAGCAUGUGCUCCUGUGGUCCUCCUCUGGUUGCUCUUAGGACACAGGAGGCUUACAUCACUUCAGAGUGACCGCAAGCUGCUGGGUCAGCAAUGACCUGCCCCACCCCUUCCUGAACUCAGGUCCCCUGUGCCACCCACAUCAGUGUCACAGAAUAAGGAAGUUCUCUGCUGUGUCUUCCCACAAGCAUUGGUUUUGAUUUCCCUGCUCUGACAAUAGCCCUACAGGGAUGCUGUGGAGUGACAAUGAGGAAAGCGAGCCUUGGCCACACUUCAGUCACUUUGGGCAGCAGGGACCAGGAAGGCAGGAGGCCAGGGGACAGGCAGGAGGACAGGUAUCCACACCCUGGAGAAAGGUCUCGAAUAAGACUCAGCGCCCCCAGAGAGUAGGCUCCAGAGCAGCCGACCCUACGUCCCCUACUAUAGCCAGCACAGGGCAUGCCUGCUGCAUCCAGGGCCCUGCAGGGCGUGCAGUGCAGAGAGCAGAGUGUGUCCUGGGUCUUGAUCCCAGGCCCUGGGAAGGGAAGGAGACAGACAUGCUGAGCCCUUGUUUGUGUCAGUCCAUCUAAUUACGGCAAACUAGAGCAAGGGGUGCUUUCAUCCCCAUUACUCCUCUAGAGGAGAUACGAGAGGCUCUGAAAGGUACCUAGAC
RNAcentral lists this long non-coding RNA (2512 nucleotides) under Homo sapiens (human). RNAcentral's name for it is "HSALNT0277928". Lineage: Eukaryota; Metazoa; Chordata; Mammalia; Primates; Hominidae. The record is from RNAcentral.